UAAAGACAUGACAUUGUGGAAUGGUUGACCGGAGACUGGACCAGAAAACCUCAUGCCUGGUGCUGGUCUUGUAAUGUCACUGAGUCAUAGAGUCACGACCUUGAAAAUAAGGUCAUUUGAAUGACCUCAUCUUACAAGAUAAAUUCCUGAUCCUCUCAAAUGCCUCUGAUGGAAGCAGGACAAAGAUGACCAGACCCAUUUCACAGAUAGGAAAGUGGAAAGUGAGAGAAGGUUGGGUAGUCUGUUAUAUGACGCCACUGUUCUCAAGAUGGCAGCCCCUAAGACGGCCCCUGGAAGGAGGUGGAUACAGGUCCUAUACAUGGGACAGCAUAA
Suricata suricatta (meerkat) is the source of this 333-nucleotide long non-coding RNA. RefSeq lists it as uncharacterized. The transcript is spliced from 3 exons. Lineage: Eukaryota; Metazoa; Chordata; Mammalia; Carnivora; Herpestidae. The record is from RefSeq and is a predicted model, not a curated record.